UACGUAGGGGGCAAGCGUUGUCCGGAAUCAUUGGGCGUAAAGCGCGUGUAGGCGGCUCGAUAAGUCCGCUGUGAAAGUCCAGGGCUCAACCCUGGAAUGCCGGUGGAUACUGUCGAGCUCGAGUCCGGAAGAGGCGAGUGGAAUUCCUGGUGUAGCGGUGAAAUGCGCAGAUAUCAGGAGGAACACCAAUGGCGAAGGCAGCUCGCUGGGACGGUACUGACGCUGAGGCGCGAAAGCGUGGGGAGCAAACAGG
This 253-nucleotide ribosomal RNA is filed under the name uncultured bacterium. Its description in RNAcentral is "partial 16S ribosomal RNA". It matches the Rfam family "Bacterial small subunit ribosomal RNA", at positions 524 to 776 of the family's 1533-position model. The record is from RNAcentral.